This 433-nucleotide ribosomal RNA is filed under the name uncultured bacterium. RNAcentral describes it as "bacterial SSU rRNA". It matches the Rfam family "Bacterial small subunit ribosomal RNA", at positions 29 to 506 of the family's 1533-position model. The record is from RNAcentral.
AACGAACGCUGGCGGCAGGCCUAACACAUGCAAGUCGAACGCCCUAGCAAUAGGGAGUGGCAGACGGGUGAGUAACACGUGGGAACGUGCCUUUCGGUUCGGAAUAACCCAGGGAAACUUGGACUAAUACCGGAUACGUGCGAGAGCAGAAAGAUUUAUCGCCGAAAGAUCGGCCCGCGUCCGAUUAGCUAGUUGGUGAGGUAACGGCUCACCAAGGCGACGAUCGGUAGCUGGUCUGAGAGGAUGAUCAGCCNCACUGGGACUGAGACACGGCCCGGACUCCUACGGGAGGCAGCAGUGGGGAAUAUUGGACAAUGGGCGCAAGCCUGAUCCAGCCAUGCCGCGUGAGUGAUGAAGGCCCUAGGGUUGUAAAGCUCGUUUCGCCGGGGACGAUAAUGACGGUACCUGGAUAAGAAGCCCCGGCUAACUUCGU